Molecule: long non-coding RNA, 1054 nt
Filed under: Monodelphis domestica (gray short-tailed opossum)
Lineage: Eukaryota; Metazoa; Chordata; Mammalia; Didelphimorphia; Didelphidae
Description: lncRNA (ENSMODG00000044601.1)
Source: RNAcentral
CCAAUUCUCCUAGAAAAACACAUUCAUAUACGAAACUUUAUCUCAUCUUAGUUAGCUACACCUUGAGGUCACUUGGUCUGUGCUUCAUAAUCAAAAGUGCCACCAUAUUAGCUUAGCUGACAAUAUUUCAGACAUCAAACAAAGGAAGAGUUGACUCAUGUUUGGAGCUGAGAAAGGGGCCAAGGCUUGGAUUCAUUGGCAAGGACUCUUCAUUUUUGUAGAAUUUUAGAGAAGGCAAAGAUAAGUGACUUGACUAAAAAAUCCCAAAGUCAGGGCCAAUAACAGCUAUUAUCCAGAUUUUUAUUGCAUUCUUUUGAAUGUAGUGAAUGAGGGGAAGAGAUUUUGAAUAAAAGGCCCCUAAGCAAUGGAUACUCCAAAUGGGGCUCCAUUUUAUUUAGCCCAAACUGCAGUGUCUCUUAUGGAUUCUAUCAUAUGUAAACAAGAGAAGUAUGUGCAGUUAGAGUUCUUCCAUCCCUAAAUGGCUCUUAUCCUUCCCUGACCUGUAGCACAUUUUUUCCCUGUGAAGCUCUGUCCUAGAAGUCUUAUAGAAUAGAAUAUGUUUUAUUGGUAAAUUCCUUCUUUGUUUAUUUGUCUGCCUGAUCUGCCUUAGACCCUAGCCUGUUCCAUUGACAGAGAUAUUGUUAAGGAGAGCGUGGCAGGCUACAUGCAGAAUAGCUCAGUGCCGCAGCCUGGACUGAACAGCAGGAAGCACAGAACUUAGACUGGAAGACAGCAGGAUGAGGAGUGGAGAAAUUCAUGGAAGACGCGACAAGAUCCUCGUGGCAAUCAUUCUCUCUUUUCCUAGGAAGGACGCUAUCAAGGAAGUCAACCUGUAGUUUUCCUUUGUUUGACUUAAUCAAAUUCCAGGACAAAUCCUGAUUCCCUGAAGCCCAGAGGCCCUCGAGGAUCCAAGAUGGCGCGCUACAAUGACUUUGCCUUUUGAUGUGGAUCAUGGCCUGCCCUAGAAGUGCCUGAGAUGACUUGUCCUGUGGCCUGGAUGUUCCUGCUACUGGAGCUUUCAUGACUACUUACAUUAGAGAUCCACCUCGACCUG